This 312-nucleotide ribosomal RNA is filed under the name Triticum aestivum (bread wheat). RNAcentral describes it as "partial small subunit ribosomal RNA". The record is from RNAcentral. Lineage: Eukaryota; Viridiplantae; Streptophyta; Magnoliopsida; Poales; Poaceae.
AUGAAAUAUGUGCUGUUAAUGCAUGAUUUUACAAGCAAAACGAAACCAUCUUAUAUUCUGCGAUUGGUUGGUGCUCUGCUCACUGCUGACCAACUACCAUUAACAUCCCUAUCAUCAUUGAACCAAAGUUUGAGAUUGUGCCCUAUAUAUGCCACAGAAAAGAACAUCAGCAAUUUUCUGGCAUUGAAAUUGGCCCAAAAAUUCCCAUUUUUCAUGCAAGUGGUUAACCUGACAUAUUUCUUACAGAAAUGUCGAAAAGGAUCGGCCAUCAAUGUUUUCACUCAAUGCAAAUGCUGUUUCAAAUUCUGUUAG